GAUGAUGUUGUUGUUGAUGUUGUGGUUGAUAUAUUUGUUGUUGUUGUAUUGGCUGUUGAUAGGGUAUAGGCACCACGGCGGCGACUUGACCAUAUGAAGCUUGUUGCUUCCCUUUAUAGUUUCUGGAUAUGGUGUUUGUUUCACCUUCUCUUUUAUUUGGGAAGCCUCCAGAAUACUUCUUCGGUGCUAGGUGUUGUCACUGCUCCUGGAAUCUUUCCAUCCCUCAACCCCUUCUCUA
RNAcentral lists this long non-coding RNA (238 nucleotides) under Lathyrus oleraceus (garden pea). RNAcentral's name for it is "Pisum sativum (pea) long non-coding RNA (PSAT_LNC020436)". Lineage: Eukaryota; Viridiplantae; Streptophyta; Magnoliopsida; Fabales; Fabaceae. The record is from RNAcentral.